UGCGUAGGUGGCAAGCGUUAUCCGGAAUUAUUGGGCGUAAAGAGCGCGCAGGUGGUUGAUUAAGUCUGAUGUGAAAGCCCACGCCUUAACCGUGGAGGGUCAUUGGAAACUGGUCGACUUGAGUGCAGAAGAGGGAAGUGGAAUUCCAUGUGUAGCGGUGAAAUGCGUAGAGAUAUGGAGGAACACCAGUGGCGAAGGCGGCUUCCUGGUCUGUAACUGACACUGAGGCGCGAAAGCGUGGGGAGCAAACAGGAUUAGAUA
This 261-nucleotide ribosomal RNA is filed under the name uncultured prokaryote. RNAcentral describes it as "partial 16S ribosomal RNA". It matches the Rfam family "Bacterial small subunit ribosomal RNA", at positions 524 to 784 of the family's 1533-position model. The record is from RNAcentral.